GUCACAAAAAUUAUGCUCGCACAUCGAUGUGGCCGGAAGGUGUGAGUUGUUCUGAUUCUGAACGGUCAUAUAGCUAUCAAGAAUGACAAGAAACUGCCUUGUGGAAAAUAUGCUGGAAGCCCUUAAAGUUUGAAGAUUGAGGACUCAAGAGAAAACGUGAAUCAUCGAGGCCACUUCGUAAGAAGAUAUUGAAUGAGUUCCCUGAAGACAAUCAAUAUGG
Coregonus clupeaformis (lake whitefish) is the source of this 220-nucleotide long non-coding RNA. RefSeq lists it as uncharacterized. Lineage: Eukaryota; Metazoa; Chordata; Actinopteri; Salmoniformes; Salmonidae. The transcript has 3 exons. The record is from RefSeq and is a predicted model, not a curated record.